GAUGAAAGAGGGAGGCGUGCCUAAUACAUGCAAGUCGAGCGAACAGACGAGGAGCUUGCUGCUUUGACGUUAGCGGCGGACGUGUGAGUAACACGUGGAUAAUCUACCUAUAAGACUGGGAUAACUUCGGGAAACCGGAGCUAAUACCGGAUAAUCUUUUGAACCGCAUGGUUCAAUAGUGAAAGACGGUGUUGCUGGCACUUAUAGAUGGAUCCGCGCUGCAUUAGCUAGUUGGUAAGGUAACGGCUUACCAAGGCAACGAUGCAUAGCCGACCUGAGAGGGUGAUCGGCCACACUGGAACUGAGACACGGUCCAGACUCCUACGGGAGGCAGCAGUAGGGAAUCUUCCGCAAUGGGCGAAAGCCUGACAGAGCAACGCCGCGUGAGUGAUGAAGGUCUUCGGAUCGUAAAACUCUGUUAUUAGGGAAGAACAUAUGUGUAAGUAACUGUGCACAUCUUGACGGUACCUAAUCAGAAAGCCACGGCUAACUACGUG
This 497-nucleotide ribosomal RNA is filed under the name uncultured bacterium. Its description in RNAcentral is "partial 16S ribosomal RNA". It matches the Rfam family "Bacterial small subunit ribosomal RNA", at positions 28 to 507 of the family's 1533-position model. The record is from RNAcentral.